AGAUUAAGUUAUUAAGGGCGCACGGUGGAUGCCUUGGCACUAGAAGCCGAUGAAGGACGUUACUAACGACGAUAUGCUUUGGGGAGCUGUAAGUAAGCUUUGAUCCAGAGAUUUCCGAAUGGGGAAACCCAGCAUGAGUUAUGUCAUGUUAUCGAUAUGUGAAUACAUAGCAUAUCAGAAGGCACACCCGGAGAACUGAAACAUCUUAGUACCCGGAGGAAGAGAAAGAAAAUUCGAUUCCCUUAGUAGCGGCGAGCGAAACGGGAAGAGCCCAAACCAAAAAGCUUGCUUGUUGGGGUUGUAGGACACUCUAUACGGAGUUACAAAGGACGACAUUAGACGAAUCAUCUGGAAAGAUGAAUCAAAGAAGGUAAUAAUCCUGUAGUCGAAAAUGUUGUCUCUCUUGAGUGGAUCCUGAGUACGACGGAGCACGUGAAAUUCCGUCGGAAUCUGGGAGGACCAUCUCCUAAGGCUAAAUACUCUCUAGUGACCGAUAGUGAACCAGUACCGUGAGGGAAAGGUGAAAAGCACCCCGGAAGGAGAGUGAAAUAGAACCUGAAACCGUGUGCUUACAAGUAGUCAGAGCCCGUUAAUGGGUGAUGGCGUGCCUUUUGUAGAAUGAACCGGCGAGUUACGAUUUGAUGCAAGGUUAAGCAGUAAAUGUGGAGCCGUAGCGAAAGCGAGUCUGAAUAGGGCGUUUAGUAUUUGGUCGUAGACCCGAAACC
This 725-nucleotide ribosomal RNA is filed under the name Staphylococcus aureus. RNAcentral's name for it is "partial 23S ribosomal RNA". It matches the Rfam family "Bacterial large subunit ribosomal RNA", at positions 1 to 722 of the family's 2925-position model. Lineage: Bacteria; Bacillati; Bacillota; Bacilli; Caryophanales; Staphylococcaceae. The record is from RNAcentral.